This 450-nucleotide ribosomal RNA is filed under the name uncultured bacterium. Its description in RNAcentral is "partial 16S ribosomal RNA". It matches the Rfam family "Bacterial small subunit ribosomal RNA", at positions 354 to 796 of the family's 1533-position model. The record is from RNAcentral.
GUAGGGAAUCUUCGGCAAUGGACGAAAGUCUGACCGAGCAACGCCGCGUGAGUGAAGAAGGUUUUCGGAUCGUAAAACUCUGUUGUUAGAGAAGAAUGUUGAUUAGAGUGGAAAAUUAAUCAAGUGACGGUAUCUAACCAGAAAGGGACGGCUAACUACGUGCCAGCAGCCGCGGUAAUACGUAGGUCCCGAGCGUUGUCCGGAUUUAUUGGGCGCAAAGCGAGCGCAGGUGGUUUAAUAAGUCUGAUGUAAAAGGCAGUGGCUCAACCAUUGUGUGCAUUGGAAACUGUUAGACUUGAGUGCAGUAGAGGAGAGUGGAAUUCCAUGUGUAGCGGUGAAAUGCGUAGAUAUAUGGAGGAACACCGGUGGCGAAAGCGGCUCUCUGGACUGUCACUGACACUGAGGCUCGAAAGCGUGGGUAGCAAACAGGAUUAGAUACCCUUGUAGUCC